RNAcentral lists this transfer RNA (76 nucleotides) under Humibacter sp. Its description in RNAcentral is "tRNA-Lys". It matches the Rfam family "tRNA". Rfam says of the family: Transfer RNA (tRNA) molecules are approximately 80 nucleotides in length. The record is from RNAcentral. Lineage: Bacteria; Bacillati; Actinomycetota; Actinomycetes; Micrococcales; Microbacteriaceae. RNAcentral also lists the same sequence under 3 other names.
GGGCGGCUAGCUCAAUUGGCAGAGCAACGGACUCUUAAUCCGUGUGUUCGGGGUUCGACUCCCCGGCCGCUCACCA